UUUAACCGCUUGAUGGCAGAAAUUAUUGAGAAAAAGAUGCGCAAGUUAUGUGGACGGCCGAGAAAAAGCAUAUGCGUAGCUUCAUGUGGAAACGGCGGACAGCAUCGAACGAACAGCAUCGGCGAACGCAACUGGAAACAUUAGCGGUUGAAGGAAUAUGUAGUGGUGGCUAAUGCAGCGAAACCAAAACGAUGAGUGUCUAGUUCUGCUCGGCCGUUGGAUGGAGAAGUGGGCUAGAAGAGAUAAGAGCUCAAUUUAUUUCGAUGACUUUGUUGGAAGUAUUGCCGAUCAAACUGGACAAACGAGCAUAUCUCAGCGCAAUCACCAGCAACAAACUUAAGAAUCCGGAGAAUACGUUUGUUAUGCUUAUCCAUGAUGAUUAAUCAAAUUUGGCAAUCUUCACUUGACGAACACACCCGAAUGGGCACGAUUUUUUUUUGUCAUUAAAUACAUUAACGACUUUGGCAUUAAGGGAUUAAACUUUGUUGUUCGCGACUUUAAGUGGAUGAGACCUGUAAUUUACAACGUAAAAUACAACGUUAAAUUACAGGCUAUGAAGGAAAUCAGAUACCACUGGAUUGCGGAUGUACUCUGGUUGACACCGCUGAACGUCCUAUUUGUACAAGCCGGGGAGAAAAUUAUUACAAUAUCCUUGAUAACGAACAGCAAAUUGGACUCGUAACACGGUACCGAAUCCGUUCCAAUUGUUGAUACUAAAUGCUUCGACUGUCGCUGUAGAACAAUUGUUUCGAUGGCGACGAUAGUUCCGACGAGGUAAUUUGUACCUGAUACAAAUGCUGGAAAUGACUUUGGCACAUUAGUAGUGAUCAACUAGCACCCGAGAUGUCGAGUUGUCCAGAUAUAUUCAUAAGUAUAUUGUCGAAGAUAUUUUCACUCAGGAUUCCAGAGCGGUAAUUACGUACAAACUCCAAAACUAUUUUAUUUUCUGUAUUUUCAA
Molecule: long non-coding RNA, 958 nt
Organism: Toxorhynchites rutilus septentrionalis
Lineage: Eukaryota; Metazoa; Arthropoda; Insecta; Diptera; Culicidae
Exons: 4
Source: RefSeq, a predicted model, not a curated record